Molecule: transfer RNA, 74 nt
Filed under: Pteridium aquilinum subsp. aquilinum
Lineage: Eukaryota; Viridiplantae; Streptophyta; Polypodiopsida; Polypodiales; Dennstaedtiaceae
Also listed under: 1 other name
Description: tRNA-Trp
Rfam family: tRNA
About the family: Transfer RNA (tRNA) molecules are approximately 80 nucleotides in length.
Source: RNAcentral
GCGCCCUUAGUUCAGUCCGGUAGAACGCGGGUCUCCAAAACCCGAUGUCGUAGGUUCAAAUCCUACAGGGCGUG